GGCGUUUGAUCAUGGCUCAGAUUGAACGCUGGCGGCAUGCCUUACACAUGCAAGUCGAACGGCAGCGCGGGGGCAACCCUGGUGGCGAGUGGCGAACGGGUGAGUAAUACAUCGGAACGUGUCCAGUAGUGGGGGAUAGCCCGGCGAAAGCCGGAUUAAUACCGCAUACCACCUACGGGUGAAAGCGGGGGAUCGCAAGACCUCGCGCUAUUGGAGCGGCCGAUGUCAGAUUAGGUUGUUGGUGGGGUAAAGGCCCACCAAGCCGACGAUCUGUAGCUGGUCUGAGAGGACGACCAGCCACACUGGGACUGAGACACGGCCCAGACUCCUACGGGAGGCAGCAGUGGGGAAUUUUGGACAAUGGGCGCAAGCCUGAUCCAGCCAUGCCGCGUGCGGGAAGAAGGCCUUCGGGUUGUAAACCGCUUUUGUCAGGGAAGAAACGCGCUGAGCUAAUACCUCGGCGUAAUGACGGUACCUGAAGAAUAAGCACCGGCUAACUACGUGCCAGCAGCCGCGGUAAUACGUAGGGUGCAAGCGUUAAUCGGAAUUACUGGGCGUAAAGCGUGCGCAGGCGGUUAUGCAAGACAGAUGUGAAAUCCCCGGGCUCAACCUGGGAACUGCAUUUGUGACUGCAUCGCUGGAGUGCGGCAGAGGGGGAUGGAAUUCCGCGUGUAGCAGUGAAAUGCGUAGAUAUGCGGAGGAACACCGAUGGCGAAAGCAAUCCCCUGGGCCUGCACUGACGCUCAUGCACGAAAGCGCGGGGAGCAAACAGGAUUAGAUACCCUGGUAGUCCACGCCCUAAACGAUGUCAACUGGUUGUUGGUCCUUCACUGGAUCAGUAACGAAGCUAACGCGUGAAGUUGACCGA
Molecule: ribosomal RNA, 868 nt
Filed under: uncultured bacterium
Lineage: Bacteria
Description: bacterial SSU rRNA
Rfam family: Bacterial small subunit ribosomal RNA
Source: RNAcentral